CGGCACCUCAAGUGGUCAGGAUGAUUAUUGGGCCUAAAGCAUCCGUAGCCGGCUCUGUAAGUUUUCGGUUAAAUCUGUACGCUCAACGUACAGGCUGCCGGGAAUACUGCAGAGCUAGGGAGUGGGAGAGGUAGACGGUACUCGGUAGGAAGGGGUAAAAUCCUUUGAUCUAUUGAUGACCACCUGUGGCGAAGGCGGUCUACCAGAACACGUCCGACGGUGAGGGAUGAAAGCUGGGGGAGCAAACCGGAUUAGAGACCCGAGUAGUCC
This 270-nucleotide ribosomal RNA is filed under the name uncultured archaeon. RNAcentral's name for it is "partial 16S ribosomal RNA". It matches the Rfam family "Archaeal small subunit ribosomal RNA", at positions 477 to 747 of the family's 1478-position model. The record is from RNAcentral.